This 72-nucleotide transfer RNA is filed under the name Mucidula mucida. RNAcentral's name for it is "tRNA-Met". It matches the Rfam family "tRNA". From Rfam's summary of the family: Transfer RNA (tRNA) molecules are approximately 80 nucleotides in length. Their secondary structure includes four short double-helical elements and three loops (D, anti-codon, and T loops). Further hydrogen bonds mediate the characteristic L-shaped molecular structure. tRNAs have two regions of fundamental functional importance: the anti-codon, which is responsible for specific mRNA codon recognition, and the 3' end, to which the tRNAs corresponding amino acid is attached (by aminoacyl-tRNA synthetases). tRNAs cope with the degeneracy of the genetic code in two manners: having more than one tRNA (with a specific anti-codon) for a particular amino acid; and 'wobble' base-pairing, i.e. permitting non-standard base-pairing at the 3rd anti-codon position. The record is from RNAcentral. Lineage: Eukaryota; Fungi; Basidiomycota; Agaricomycetes; Agaricales; Physalacriaceae. RNAcentral also lists the same sequence under 1 other name.
AGCAGCAUGGCGCAGUGGCAGCGCGCGGGGCCCAUAACCCCGAGGUCACUUGAUCGAAACAAGUUGCUGCUA